GUGCUCACUUGGGUAGCACAUAUACUAAAAUUGGAACAGCACAGAGAAGAUUAGUGUGGCUCCUGUGCAAGGAUGACAUGCAAAUUCAUGAAGCAUUUCAUAUUUUU
This 107-nucleotide small nuclear RNA is filed under the name Vulpes vulpes (red fox). The record is from RNAcentral. Lineage: Eukaryota; Metazoa; Chordata; Mammalia; Carnivora; Canidae.